UACAGAGGGUGCAAGCGUUAAUCGGAGUUACUGGGCGUAAAGGGCGCGUAGGCGGUUUAGUAAGUGAGAUGUGAAAUCCCUGGGCUUAACCUAGGAACUGCAUCUUAUACUGUUAAGCUAGAGUAUUGUAGAGGGUAGUGGAAUUUCCGGUGUAGCGGUGAAAUGCGUAGAGAUGUGGAGGAACACCAAUGGCGAAGGCAGCCUUCUGGGCCAACACUGACGCUCAUGCACGAAAGCGUGGGGAGCAAACAGG
This 253-nucleotide ribosomal RNA is filed under the name uncultured bacterium. Its description in RNAcentral is "partial 16S ribosomal RNA". It matches the Rfam family "Bacterial small subunit ribosomal RNA", at positions 524 to 776 of the family's 1533-position model. The record is from RNAcentral.